CACGGAGUUAGCCGAUGCUUUUUCUUCGGGUACUCUCACUUGUGGCCUCACGAGGCCUUUUUGCUCCCCGACAAAAGAGGUUUACAAUCCAUAGGACCGUCUUCCCUCACGCGACUUGGCUGGUUCAGGCUCUCGCCCAUUGACCAAUAUUCCUCACUGCUGCCUCCCGUAGGAGUCUGGUCCGUGUCUCAGUACCAGUGUGGGGGACCUUCCUCUCAGAACCCCUACGCAUCGUCGCCUCGGUGGGCCGUUACCCCGCCGACUAGCUAAUGCGCCGCAUGCCCAUCCGUAGCCGGAAUCGCUUCCUUUAAUCCCUCAGGGAUGCCCCCGAAAGAUAUUACGCGGUAUUAGACGGAAUUACUUCCGCUUAUCCCCUCGCUACGGGCAGGUCGCAUACGUGUUACUCACCCGUCGCGCCGGUCGCCGUCCGGCAAGUGCAGCACUCGCCUCCGCUCGCCCCUCGACUUGCAUGUGUUAAGCCUGUCGCUACGCGUUCAUCCUGAGCAGGAUACAAACUU
RNAcentral lists this ribosomal RNA (518 nucleotides) under uncultured Porphyromonadaceae bacterium. Its description in RNAcentral is "partial 16S ribosomal RNA". Lineage: Bacteria; Pseudomonadati; Bacteroidota; Bacteroidia; Bacteroidales; Porphyromonadaceae. The record is from RNAcentral.